GACGGACGCUGGCGGCGUGCUUAACACAUGCAAGUCGAACGAUGACGACCGAGCUUGCUCGGUCUGAUUAGUGGCGAACGGGUGAGUAACACGUGAGCAACCUGCCCUUCACUCUGGGAUAACCUCGGGAAAUCGGGGCUAAUACCGGAUAUGAGCUCCUGUCGCAUGGCGGGUGUUGGAAAGUUUUUCGGUGAAGGAUGGGCUCGCGGCCUAUCAGUUUGUUGGUGAGGUAGUGGCUCACCAAGGCGAUGACGGGUAGCCGGCCUGAGAGGGCGAACGGCCACACUGGGACUGAGACACGGCACAGACUCCUAAGGGAGGCAGCAGUGGGGAAUAUUGCACAAUGGGCGAAAGCCUGAUGCAGCGACGCCGCGUGAGGGAUGACGGCCUUCGGGUUGUAAACCUCUUUCAGCAGGGAAGAAGCGAAAGUGACGGUACCUGCAGAAGAAGCGCCGGCUAACUACGUG
RNAcentral lists this ribosomal RNA (467 nucleotides) under uncultured bacterium. Its description in RNAcentral is "partial 16S ribosomal RNA". It matches the Rfam family "Bacterial small subunit ribosomal RNA", at positions 28 to 507 of the family's 1533-position model. The record is from RNAcentral.